RNAcentral lists this microRNA precursor (195 nucleotides) under Jatropha curcas. Its description in RNAcentral is "MIR159 microRNA precursor family". It matches the Rfam family "MIR159 microRNA precursor family". The record is from Rfam by way of RNAcentral. Lineage: Eukaryota; Viridiplantae; Streptophyta; Magnoliopsida; Malpighiales; Euphorbiaceae.
GGUAAAAAGAAGGAGCUCUCUUCAGUCCAGUCCAGGGCGGUUGAAGGCUAAAACGUAGCUGCUGACUCGUUGGUUCAAGAGAACAUCAUCACUUGAAUAAAUGAGAUGUGUUUUUGAUCCAACGAAGCAGGAGCUUAUUACGUUUAGCUAUGGCUGUCAUGUCUUGGACUGAAGGGAGCUCCCUCCAAUUCUACA